UACGUAGGUGGCAAGCGUUGUCCGGAUUUAUUGGGCGUAAAGAGCUCGUAGGCGGCUUGUCACGUCGGGUGUGAAAGCCCGGGGCUUAACUCCGGGUCUGCAUUCGAUACGGGCUAGCUAGAGUGUGGUAGGGGAGAUCGGAAUUCCUGGUGUAGCGGUGAAAUGCGCAGAUAUCAGGAGGAACACCGGUGGCGAAGGCGGAUCUCUGGGCCAUUACUGACGCUGAGGAGCGAAAGCGUGGGGAGCGAACAGG
Molecule: ribosomal RNA, 253 nt
Filed under: uncultured bacterium
Lineage: Bacteria
Description: partial 16S ribosomal RNA
Rfam family: Bacterial small subunit ribosomal RNA
Source: RNAcentral